RNAcentral lists this unclassified non-coding RNA (279 nucleotides) under Hevea brasiliensis (rubber tree). Lineage: Eukaryota; Viridiplantae; Streptophyta; Magnoliopsida; Malpighiales; Euphorbiaceae. The record is from RNAcentral.
CGGUGUAGGUACAAGCGGAGUCCCAAUUCCGAAAAGCAGAGAAUAAAGAGAGAAAAUGAGGCCACAGAUCGUGUUAUUUGGCGAUUCAAUAACGCAGCAGUCUUUUAGAUCAGGUGGUUGGGGUGCUUCUCUUGCCGACACUUACUCCCGCAAGGCCGAUGUGGUGGUUCGUGGCUAUGGUGGUUACAACACUCGAUGGGCUCUGUUCUUGUUGCAUCACCUUUUUCCUCUUGACUCCUCAAAACCUCCGGUUGCUGUCACAAUAUUCUUUGGGGCUAA